GUGACACAUAACGCCGACAAGCAAGAAGCCAUCUUGGAUAAGACGCACUGUUUUAAGCAGCACAUGUUCAUUGUUCAAUUACCAUUAAUAUAUUCUGUCCAAAAUGAAUGAUUUUUCUGCUGUUCCACCACCAAGCGGUGUGGGAAAUAAUCCUGCAUUUGCUGAUGCUGUGCAAAGAGCAAAACAGAUUGCGGCCAAGAUUGGUAGCUCAGCUGGCCCACCAGCGGGUGUUGUAGAGCCACCACCAGGGAUCCCCUUGGGCAUAAAGCGACCCAUGGAUGACGGUGAUGGCAUGCCAGAUGCAAAGAGAUCGGCUGCUGAGAAUGAUCCUUUCGGUGCUCAAUUAGCAGCUUUGGCUCAACAGCGACAAGGGAUGCCUGCACAAGCCACAGAAGACUACAAGAUUCCAGAUGGCCUUGUUGGAUUAGUUAUCGGCCGUGGUGGGGAGCAAAUCAACAGGCUACAGACAGAGACAAGUUGCAAUAUUCAAAUUUCACCAGAUAGCAAUGGAAUGCCAGAUCGGGUGUGUACAUUAUCUGGUAGUAAUGUUUCUGUAAUGAAUGCAAGGAAUGCACUAGAUAAGAUCAUUGCCAAAGCCAAGAUGACGGACGCUGAAGGAACCGUUACUGAGGAGAUGAUGGUACCAGGCAAUAAAGUAGGCCUGGUAAUCGGCAAAGGGGGCGAGACCAUCAGAACUCUACAGGAUGAGAUUGGUGUUAGAAUGACCAUGAUUCAAGAUGGACCACAGAACAUCGGUAUUGAUAAGCCACUUAGAGUAAGCGGUGAACCAUCUAAAGUACAGGAAGCAUUCCGAAAAGUACAUGAACUACUUGAAUCUAAGGGCAAUGAUCUUGGGAAUCGUGGGCCAGGAAUGGGUAAUCCAUUCCAAAGAAGAGGUCCUCCACCUAAUGGUCGAGAGGUACCAGUUCCAAAGUUUGCUGUGGGUAUUGUGAUUGGCAGGCAAGGUGAAACAAUUAAGAAAAUCCAGGCAGAGUCUGGUGCACGUGUUCAGUUUCAAGACGAUGAUGGUGGUCCGGAGAGAAUUGCCAUUGUCUCUGGCCCUGAGGACGCAGUUAUGAAUGCUGCUGGUGAAAUUGAGAAGUUGAUUGCUAGUGCUAAUAGAGAUGUUGACAGAGGAAAUGGAAUGCCAAUGAGAGGUGGCAGAGGAGGUGGACGAGGUGGUUUCAGAGGAGGCAGAGGUGGCUUCAAUCGUGGACCACCAGGAAUGGGAGGUCCAAGAGGUCCCCCUCCACACCAUGGAGGUGGUCCUCAUGGUGGACCGCCUCAUGGAGGCCCAGGAAUGAAUACACUAGAAUAUGCAGUGCCGGCAAACAAGUGUGGAAUUGUCAUUGGUAAAGGUGGUGAGAGCAUCAACAAUAUCAAAGCAACGAGUGGCGCACAUGUUGAAAUUAGUCGUAACCCAGGUCCACCUGGUCAGAAGUUGUUCUUCAUACGUGGAACACAGGAACAGAUUGACCAUGCCAAGUACCUCAUUAAUGAAAAAAUAAAUAAUGAUCCAAGAGGUCCACCUCCACCACAGGGCGGUGCUCCCCCAUAUGGACAAGGUCCACCUCCAGGAGGUCCACAAGGAGGACACCAACCACCUCAGGGUGGUCCACCAGGGCCCCCACAACCAUACAACCCCCAUGGUUGGGGUAAUGCAUUUGGCCAAUGGAAUCAACAGCAAUCCCAGACUGACACAAUGGCUGCCUGGGCAUCAUACUAUGCUCAGUUCUAUCCUCAGCAAGGAGGAGCACAACCAGCUAACCCAGGGGCACAGCCACAACCGUCAUCUUCAUCUACUCCAUCCUCAAAUACAUCAACACAGUCGCCAGCAGCAUCUCAAGGCGUGAAGAUGACUGCUGACGGACAGCCAGAUUAUAGCGCGGCCUGGGAGGAGUACUACCGACAGCUGCGACAACAGCAAGGUGGCGCUGCAGCUGCAGCACCAGCAGGACAGCCACAGCAGGCAGCACAAGCUGUAGCAUCAAGCCAGCCCCCAGCUGCAGCUACCAGCCAGAGUGGAGCAGCCGCAGGGGGCGGUACCCAAGAUUACAGCGCAGAAUGGGCAGAGUACUGGCGUCAACAGGGCUACUACUAUCCACAGUCACAAGGAGCCCAGCAGCAACCCCAGGCACAACCCCAACAACAGCCACAGUACUAGCCAGAAAAUGCCCAGAUGUGAUCAACUAAACAGAGUCCUAGAAUUUCACGGCUUUGGGUGGAACAUGCGUCAAUGUUGGAGUUAGAACAGCAACCACAUAUAAUGAUUGAUUGAUUGAUUGAUACUUUGAUUCAUUGUGCUAUGGAGUAUUUUGAUUGAUUGAUUGAUUGAUUAUCAACGAGUGUCUUUGAUCUUAUGAAGCCUGAUGACUAUUACCAUGCAGUUCCUCCAUUACAACAUUAAUCUUGAUGUUUUUGCCAAGUCCAAGAUAAAAAUUGGUUGUAGUUGAGUUAGAUGUUUUUACCACAUAGACUUAAUGUAAAUAUAUAAACACGGUGACCAAGGUAAGGAAAGGUCCAUGUUGCUUCAAGGUUUUUAAAUGUAAGAGGUCGAAAUAAGAUCACCUAGUGUGCAUCUGGACUAGGUUUCAUCUACCACUUAUCUACCGUAUGUAAUUUUUCAGUAUUUUAUUUGGUUUUUCCCCCCGGAUUUUUAAAUGAAUAUUGAUAAUAUGAUGUGCAUUUUUGCAAUGUGCUGUCUUCCUCAUAGAUAAGUAGGCUGCAGGUGGACUUACACAACUAGCAGAGAUGUUCUCAUCGCUAUUGUAAGUAACUAGAUUGUUCAAAAUGUGUAAUUGUUACCAUAGUGGUUUCUUUAUGAUCACUGUUACCAAUUGUUAUACCAUUUUAAGAAUAUAUUCAUAUUAUUUUCUAUGUAUGUUGAGAAUGAACUAGUGUUUUUAAGUAUGAAAAUCACAAACCAUGAAUUAUUUUGAUGUGUAGAAUGUAGGAAUGAUUCUAUUUUACAUUAUUGAUCGUUAAAACUAAGGGGUUUUUUUUUUAACUGAGGUCGAAAAUUAUAACUAUUGUACAGUAUUUAGAUUCUGCUGAGCUGUAAGAAUUUGAGUAGGAAAUGAGCAAUCCAGGUAAGUGUGUUGGAAGAAACCUUAAAAGGGCUGGGAAUGUUGAAACUGCAACCAACAAUUUAUGGAGAUGAUGUAAAUGUAGCAUUUUUGCAUUGCAGCAAUUCACUCUUAUAAUAUUUUAAGUCAUGAUUCUGGGAGAACAUUAAGGAGGAAGGGUGUUGUAUUCUUCUCAGCCUUACACCUCAUUCGUUGGACAAGUAAAAUUAAAUUGUGUAAUUAAUAAAAAGCUGUAACUGUAGUUAAAUAUUGAAAGAUAUCCUAAUUUAACAAGUGUAACUACUUAUACUAUGGUUAAUGCAUCAUUGUAGUUGUAAAUGUUGUAGGUUAAAUCAAUUAUUGUACAGAACAAAAUAGGGAUGAUUUCAAAACUGUGUUCAGAAUUUAUUUCGUUCUUGAUGGUGAUGUUACAUUUGAUAAUGAUACAUUUUUGCUUUUGAACUAUGUAACUAUGUUUCUUGUUUAGUGAUACAUAUUCCACAUGUGUUGUUUUGAAUGUGCAAACUUGAAUCGGUAUGUGUUUAGGAUGAGGUACGUUGUCACAUAGGUUCAAAGGCUAGAGGUGAUGAUGAAUGGGGUGUGUGGCAGGAGCUAAAGACCAACCGCCACGGACGAGUCUAAUGUAAGUAAGGAAAGGAGUCUUUGGUAGGGCAGUUAGCAACACUACUGAACUUGUAUUGCAGUAUUAUUUUCUCAUGCCUGUAUUUUCUUAUAUUGUAUGUUCAUAAUAAAACAAUUCCUUACAUGCUUUAUGAA
Molecule: unclassified non-coding RNA, 3842 nt
Filed under: Anneissia japonica
Lineage: Eukaryota; Metazoa; Echinodermata; Crinoidea; Comatulida; Comatulidae
Description: far upstream element-binding protein 1-like, transcript variant X5
Source: RNAcentral